This is a long non-coding RNA of Astatotilapia calliptera (eastern happy), 1366 nucleotides long. The record is from Ensembl. Lineage: Eukaryota; Metazoa; Chordata; Actinopteri; Cichliformes; Cichlidae.
CUACGUUUUGAGGGUAAAAUCAUACCUGUAGAGCAAACGCUGCGGACACAGCAGCAGUUUUAAAAAAGAUUUUAAGAUUAUUUUUUUUGCUCCUCUCACUCUAGCAGUUGAGCUGUCUCACUCUAGCCCCAACAUUCCGUCCCAUACACACCCAUUAUAAACUCUGAAACGGGUGAAAAAACAUCAUGAAACUUAAACUGGAACUGAAGAAAAAGUAUAAUAGAUAUUGAAAAGAUAAAUACAAGUUGAAUAGUUGAAUGUCUUGUCUUCGUUUUAAAGUUUGAAUGGUGGCUCUAUGUGAACGUAUGUUGAAGUAGUAAGAGUUUAAAAAUGAGUAAGUUGAAUGAGAAUUUGAAGGGUCUCCCCAUUGAAAUACAUGGGAAAUUUUUGUUGAAUAAAGUUGAAUAAAAUUAAAAAUAUAAAUGUUAAAAAUGAGAAAAAUACAAGCAACAGUGUCCAAAAGAAUAGGAAUCUAAUGGUGUUUGAAUGGUUUUUCUAAGUUGAACGGUUUUGAAGGAGUAGGCUUUCAAAAAACGUACGGAAUAGAUAAAAUAUAAUAACUAGAAAGUGCAUUUUCUGAAGAAACUGCAGUGUGAAUGCUUGAAUCUGAAUGUAUGCACUGAAAUGAAUUAAUUGCUGAAUUUUGAGUUAAAAAUAUUGAAUGAGAUUAAAAAAAAACAAAAAAAAAAAACGAAUUUAACCUGAAAACAAAGGUGCUGAACUGCUAAAAGCUGAACGUUACACAGAAGAAGGAGUUGGAAAAAAACUGAAAAUGUUUUAAAUGUAAAUUAGAAAACCCUAAGAAAUGAGAAAAGAACAUUUAGAGUCAGAAAACAUCUGAAUGAAUAUUAAAAGGUCAUAUUCUUUGAAUCACUGAAUGACUCAAAUGUGAUCCCUCCACUUUGAUACACACAGUUUAAAAAGUUUAAAUGCCUGAGCUUUGAAAGAUACGGUGUUGGAAAGAGAACAAUAAUGGCGACAAUUUGAGGGUAAAAUGAUGGCUGUAACACUGUGGACACAGCAGCAGUUGAAAGAGAAGUGCUUAAGAUGAAUCUUGGUACAGUGGCAGGCAGAGCUCGUUAAGCAGGCAGGUGUGAGCCUGGUUGCUAUAGUGACCGCACCCAAUGGCUCCAUACACACGUACACAGACAUGCGCCUCACUUUUGCUGCUUAAAAUGAACAGAAAAGUCAGGCCGAAACAAAUCGUUCCCAAAUGAAAAGUAAAAGUCGUAUUGACAAAAUUCUUUCACCGUGAGCGACAGCAAUGUCUAGUCUACUGAAUUCUCAGUUUUCAUGCCUGUGGAGUUUAUUAUAUGGACGUGGUGACAGUGGAAAGACACCAUGCUCUUCUGAUUUUCAAACGAAC